GGACAAGAUAUCUAGGGCGCACGGCGGAUGCCUUGGCACAGGAAGUCGACGAAGGACGCGGCAAGCUGCGAUAAGCCCCGGGGAGUGGCAAACACACCUUGAUCCGGGGAUCUCCGAAUGGGGGAACCCACCUGGGGUCAUGCCCAGGUAUCCCGUCCUGAAUGAAAUAGGGACGAGGAAGGCAACCGGGGGAACUGAAACAUCUAAGUACCCCGAGGAAGAGAAAUCAACCGAGAUUGCGCGAGUAGCGGCGAGCGAAAGCGCACCAGCCCAAACCCGGGCGCGUGUAAGCGGCAGGCGUUGCCGCCCGGGGGUUGCGGGACACCCGUCCAGGUGCUGCCCACCUGGGAGUGGUCACAAAUCCGUCAGGUAGCGGAACGGCAUGGAAGGGCCGGCCGCAGCGGGUGAGAGCCCCGUACGCGAAACCUGACGGACCACUGCGGUGCAUCCCGAGUAGGGCCGGGCACGUGAAACCCGGUCCGAAGCCGGGGGGACCACCCUCCAAGGCUGAACACUCUCCUGUGACCGAUAGCGAACCAGUACCGUGAGGGAAAGGUGAAAAGCACCCCGAGAGGGGAGUGAAACAGUACCUGAAACCGUGCGCCCACAAGCAGUCGGAGCAACCUUGCGUUGUGACGGCGUGCCUUUUGUAGAAUGAGCCAGCGAGUUGCGGUGUGCGGCGAGGUUAAGUUUGGAAACGAGCCGCAGCGAAAGCGAGCCUUUAAGAUGGCGAGUGAGUCGCACGCUGCAGACGCGAAGCCGGGUGAGCUAUCCUGGGGCAGGCUGAAGCGGGGGUAAGACCCCGUGGAGGGCCGAACCCACUUCGGUUGAAAACGGAGGGGAUGACCCCAGGAUAGGGGUGAAAGGCCAAUCAAACCCGGAGAUAUCUCGUUCUCCCCGAAAUAGCUUUAGGGCUAGCCUCGGCCGUUAACCCGCGGUGGUAGAGCCACCGGAUCGACGAGGGGGCUUCACCGCCUACCGACUCGAACCGAACUCCGAAUGCCGCGGGUCGAGAGGCCGGGAGUCAGAGGGCGUGGGCUAAGCUGCGCGCUCGAGAGGGAAACAGCCCAGACCGCCCGCUAAGGUCCCCAAGUCAUCGCUGAGUGGCAAAGGAUGUGCGUCUGCCCAGACAACCAGGAUGUUGGCUUAGAAGCAGCCAUGCAUUUAAAGAGUGCGUAACAGCUCACUGGUCGAGUGGACAUGCGCCGACAAUUCACGGGGCUAAGCGAUGCACCGAAGCGGCGGACUGAUCUUUCAGUGGUAGGGGAGCUUUCCGCGACCGGCGAAGCCGCAGGGCGACCUGCGGUGGAGGGCGCGGAAGUGAGAAUGCUGGCAUGAGUAACGAGACCAGGGCGAGAAACCCUGGCGCCGUGAGCCUAAGGGUUCCUGGGCGAGGCUAAUCCCCCCAGGGUCAG
This 1415-nucleotide ribosomal RNA is filed under the name Bifidobacterium sp. Its description in RNAcentral is "partial 23S ribosomal RNA". It matches the Rfam family "Bacterial large subunit ribosomal RNA", at positions 1 to 1383 of the family's 2925-position model. The record is from RNAcentral. Lineage: Bacteria; Bacillati; Actinomycetota; Actinomycetes; Bifidobacteriales; Bifidobacteriaceae.